This 76-nucleotide transfer RNA is filed under the name Oceanicaulis alexandrii. RNAcentral describes it as "tRNA-Val". It matches the Rfam family "tRNA". Rfam says of the family: Transfer RNA (tRNA) molecules are approximately 80 nucleotides in length. Their secondary structure includes four short double-helical elements and three loops (D, anti-codon, and T loops). The record is from RNAcentral. Lineage: Bacteria; Pseudomonadati; Pseudomonadota; Alphaproteobacteria; Maricaulales; Maricaulaceae. RNAcentral also lists the same sequence under 4 other names.
GGGUGGUUAGCUCAGCUGGUAGAGCAACUGGUUUACACCCAGUAGGUCGGCGGUUCGACCCCGUCACCACCCACCA